GUGAACGCUGGCGGUAGGCCUAACACAUGCAAGUCGAACGGCAGCACAGUAAGAGCUUGCUCUUACGGGUGGCGAGUGGCGGACGGGUGAGGAAUAUAUCGGAAUCUACUUUUUCGUGGGGGAUAACGUAGGGAAACUUACGCUAAUACCGCAUACGACCUACGGGUGAAAGCAGGGGAUCUUCGGACCUUGCGCGAUUGAAUGAGCCGAUGUCGGAUUAGCUAGUUGGCGGGGUAAAGGCCCACCAAGGCGACGAUCCGUAGCUGGUCUGAGAGGAUGAUCAGCCACACUGGAACUGAGACACGGUCCAGACUCCUACGGGAGGCAGCAGUGGGGAAUAUUGGACAAUGGGCGCAAGCCUGAUCCAGCCAUAUCGCGUGGGUGAAGAAGGCCUUCGGGUUGUAAAGCCCUUUUGUUGGGAAAGAAAAGCAGCAGGUUAAUACCCCGCUGUUCUGACGGUACCCAAAGAAUAAGCACCGGCUAACUUCGUG
RNAcentral lists this ribosomal RNA (491 nucleotides) under uncultured bacterium. RNAcentral describes it as "partial 16S ribosomal RNA". It matches the Rfam family "Bacterial small subunit ribosomal RNA", at positions 29 to 507 of the family's 1533-position model. The record is from RNAcentral.